This 478-nucleotide ribosomal RNA is filed under the name uncultured bacterium. RNAcentral describes it as "bacterial SSU rRNA". It matches the Rfam family "Bacterial small subunit ribosomal RNA", at positions 27 to 518 of the family's 1533-position model. The record is from RNAcentral.
GGAUGAACGCUGGCGGCGUGCUUAACACAUGCAAGUCGAACGGAGUCACAUGAAACCUAGUGAUUGUGACUUAGUGGCGGACGGGUGAGUAACGCGUGGGUAACCUGCCGUAUGCAGGGGGACAACAGAGGGAAACUUCUGCUAAUACCGCAUAAGCGCACGGAUUCGCAUGAAUCAGUGUGAAAAGAUUUAUCGGCAUACGAUGGACCCGCGUCCGAUUAGCUAGUUGGUGAGGUAACGGCCCACCAAGGCGACGAUCGGUAGCCGGCCUGAGAGGGUGAACGGCCACAUUGGGACUGAGACACGGCCCAAACUCCUACGGGAGGCAGCAGUGGGGAAUAUUGCACAAUGGGGGAAACCCUGAUGCAGCGACGCCGCGUGAGUGAUGAAGUAUUUCGGUACGUAAAGCUCUAUCAGCAGGAAAGAAAAUGACGGUACCUGACUAAGAACGCCCGGCUAACUACGUGCCAGCAGCCGC